Hirundo rustica (Barn swallow) is the source of this 1829-nucleotide long non-coding RNA. RefSeq lists it as uncharacterized. The transcript is spliced from 3 exons. The record is from RefSeq and is a predicted model, not a curated record. Lineage: Eukaryota; Metazoa; Chordata; Aves; Passeriformes; Hirundinidae.
CCUCCUUGCUGCCCUGCUAACUGGCUUCGGUAGCUGGUCUGAUUUAGCCAGACAGAGAUUUCUUUCAGCUAAAGACAUUGUAUCUGAGUGUAAAUCUUUUCAUCCUGAUGUCUGCAUUGCAACUUAAUGAGCUGCCUGGCUAUGCCACAUUGGCUGGCAUAUAUUAUUUUACAGGUUGUGUGGGGAGAAGCAGAAGAUGCAGUCUGAGGAAUGCAGAAGGUAUCUCCCAGCCAUGAAGAACACCCCUGAGUGGGGAGCCUUCCAGCAUCAGUGUGCAUGGCCAGUAUGUGUGUGUUCUCUGGGCUGUCUUUAGCCCAUCAAGCUCACCCACAUGUAUGUGCUUGUCAGCACAGCCUGAUAUGCAAAAUUAGUAAACUGCUUUCCAAAACUAGAUAGCUUACCUCCAUAGCUAUUGUAACCCGCAUGUGGGAAUUUUCCUAAAGAGAGAAUAGUGUUAUCUGUGUUCCCAAAACCACAAAUACAAAUGGUUUAGUUGGAAUUUUAUCUUCAAACAUGGUAGGUUUAGCAAUUGAAUUAAUUUUUAAGAGAUAAAAGCUUUAAUGAAACAAGCUGUUUCUUAUGUGAAAAAAUAUCUGGGUUUUGCACAUACAAGGUGACCACAAAGAACUAUCCUAGUAUUUAAAAUAUUUUUGUUGUUUCUGUCUGGUACAGUUUAAACAGAGAAACCCCAAAUAUUAAAAAUAAAUGCAGUCCAGGGUUUUUCAAUAUUUCCAUCUCACAAGGGAAACAGUAUAGGACUCUUCUUCCCAUAAAUGCCUCUUCCCACUUCUGUAACAGUGAGCAGAAAAUGGCAGGUAUGAAAAUUUAACAUUACUGCAACAGAAUGUCUGUGUAGGGCACACAGAUUUGGACUGUUAUUUAGCCCAUUGGAAAUCUAACUCAACAGGAAAGCAGAAAUUAAUUCAAAAUGUUCCAUGAUGUGUUUUAUUACUUUUUUAAAUUCAUAAAUGCUAUCUUUUGCUCAGUCAAAUUUUUUCAGAAGCUUUUUGUGAACAAUAAAGAAAGAAAAGCACAGCACAAGUUGAGCCUCUGUGUUCCUACUAGCAGCACCUGAAAUAACUACAGAGACUGAAAACUAGUUCAUAACAUCUGGGCAAUUGCAUGCUAAAUUCUAACCACUCAGUUCCUUUGGUCUAAAGUGGGCAAUAGAUCAGUAAGAUAAGAUCAAGCCAUUAUCUGUGCUGUGAUUUAUUUCCUUUAUUACUGCCUUUUUGUAUCAUUCCUCUGUACAAGUUCUGUUUUGUAUGAUGUUUGGAGUCAGAGAAUAAGGGAAUAUAGAGAAAGUAACAAUGCUAUAUUUGAUUUUAUGUUUGGGUAUUACACAGCACAAAGAGAAUGUUUUAAAAUUUCCUUCUCUUGCCAGUGCCAAAUAAAAAUUGCCUGAUGAAAGAAGAUUAGCAAAUGCUGUGUUUAACAACUGAUUACAAAAUGCAGAACACACAAAACACUUGGUAUGUUUAAAAGUUGGAAAUAGGUGUUAUGAGAAAAAAGUAAAUGUAAAGCUCUAGUUAUCACUUGAAACCAAGGCAAAAUAAUACAGCAACCCCCUAUAGAGUCUGGGAGUGAUCACAUCUGUCCUGACAGAAUUUGUUUGGUUUAUCUUCAUGUGGAAACCAUGAAAUGUUUGAAUAGGUUGUUUAUUUUGCUGAUUGGAAGCUAAUACAGUUGAAGAUGCCUGGUUUCAGUUUGAACAUUCUAGAUUUUGUUUUAUGGAGAAAAGGAUGCUAUAUUUUGUGCUUAGCUGUUACCUGAAUUCAUUGCACAUCUGCAUAUGACUCUAAAUAUCUAAAUCUGUUGUUUUCUCCUCU